GUGGGUGUAGCUCAACUUGGAUAGAGCACUUGACUGUGGCUCAAGUGGUUGUGGGUUCAAAUCCCAUCACCCACC
Molecule: transfer RNA, 75 nt
Filed under: Candidatus Omnitrophota bacterium
Lineage: Bacteria; Pseudomonadati; Candidatus Omnitrophota
Description: tRNA-His
Rfam family: tRNA
About the family: Transfer RNA (tRNA) molecules are approximately 80 nucleotides in length. Their secondary structure includes four short double-helical elements and three loops (D, anti-codon, and T loops).
Source: RNAcentral